ACACCGAUGGUGAAACGGUAUCAUGCUUGCCUUCCACACUCGGUUUGUGAUAGCAAGCGGCGUGGGUUCGACUCCCGCUCGGUGUA
Molecule: transfer RNA, 86 nt
Filed under: Rhodonia placenta
Lineage: Eukaryota; Fungi; Basidiomycota; Agaricomycetes; Polyporales; Adustoporiaceae
Also listed under: 1 other name
Description: Postia placenta tRNA
Rfam family: tRNA
About the family: Transfer RNA (tRNA) molecules are approximately 80 nucleotides in length.
Source: Rfam by way of RNAcentral